Long non-coding RNA from Poeciliopsis prolifica (blackstripe livebearer), 422 nucleotides. RefSeq lists it as uncharacterized. The record is from RefSeq and is a predicted model, not a curated record. The transcript is spliced from 4 exons. Lineage: Eukaryota; Metazoa; Chordata; Actinopteri; Cyprinodontiformes; Poeciliidae.
UUAAGUAAAGACAGUUCGGGAGAAACUCCAGUUGGCAUAAAAUAUGUUUUGCUGUGAAGAAAAACAGAUACUGCAGAGCUUUGAAAGUGACAGCUUACAACAGAGGUGGGAAGUAACAACGUACAAGCAUGUCAUCACUGUAGGAAUGGAUAGGAUCACAACAACCUACUAAAGUGUACCCUACCUCUUGUCCAAUGACAGCUGGAUAUAGACACCAUUUCUUGGCAACCCAGCAAUGAUAAGCAGAUUGUUGAUGCUGUGUAUCGGGAAUCUCUGCCCCACUGUCAGUGACCUCUCUCUCCUGUGGCAUCCAUUCGACAACCCUGUCAGAAAAAUACAUGCUCAGCAUGCUUGGGAGUAAAAGAAAAACCAUCGGAGGCUUUGAAAGCAUUUCACAUCCAUGUUUUCAUGUACUGGCCAUG